Molecule: ribosomal RNA, 393 nt
Filed under: uncultured bacterium
Lineage: Bacteria
Description: partial 16S ribosomal RNA
Rfam family: Bacterial small subunit ribosomal RNA
Source: RNAcentral
AUACGGAGGAUCCGAGCGUUAUCCGGAUUUAUUGGGUUUAAAGGGAGCGUAGGUGGAUUGUUAAGUCAGUUGUGAAAGUUUGCAGCUCAACCGUAAAAUUGCAGUUGAAACUGGCAGUCUUGAGUACAGUAGAGGUGGGCGGAAUUCGUGGUGUAGCGGUGAAAUGCUUAGAUAUCACGAAGAACUCCGAUUGCGAAGGCAGCUGACCAGAGCGCAAAUGACGCUCAUGCACGAAAGUGCGGGGAUCGAACAGGAUUAGAUACCCUGGUAGUCCGCACAGUAAACGAUGAAUACUUGUUUUCGGCGAUAUAAUGUCGGAGGCAAAGCGAAAGCGAUAAGUAUUCCACCUGGGGAGUACGCCGGCAACGGUGAAACUUAAAGGAAUUGACGGGG